RNAcentral lists this ribosomal RNA (500 nucleotides) under uncultured bacterium. RNAcentral describes it as "partial 16S ribosomal RNA". It matches the Rfam family "Bacterial small subunit ribosomal RNA", at positions 30 to 523 of the family's 1533-position model. The record is from RNAcentral.
AUUGAACGCUGGCGGCAGGCCUAACACAUGCAAGUCGAGCGGAUGACGGGAGCUUGCUCCUUGAUUCAGCGGCGGACGGGUGGGUAAUGCCUAGGAAUCUGCCUGGUAGUGGGGGACAACGUUUCGAAAGGAACGCUAAUACCGCAUACGUCCUACGGGAGAAAGCAGGGGACCUUCGGGCCUUGCGCUAUCAGAUGAGCCUAGGUCGGAUUAGCUAGUUGGUGGGGUAAUGGCUCACCAAGGCGACGAUCCGUAACUGGUCUGAGAGGAUGAUCAGGCACACUGGAAAUGAGACACGGUCCAGACUCCUACGGGAGGCAGCAGUGGGGAAUAUUGGACAAUGGGCGAAAGCCUGAUCCAGCCAUGCCGCGUGUGUGAAGAAGGUCUUCGGAUUGUAAAGCACUUUAAGUUGGGAGGAAGGGCAGUAAGUUAAUACCUUGCUGUUUUGACGUUACCGACAGAAUAAGCACCGGCUAACUCUGUGCCAGCCGCCGCGGUAA